GAAAAGAAAAAGAAAGAAAGCAAAACAUAUAGCUUAGUGUAAAUCUCCACAAUCCCAUGUCCUAUAUUACUAGAGUUUAUUCCCCAAAUACCUGUUCAAUGUCCACCACCAACAGUUGUGGACCAACUGGAAGCAAAAAUCUCAUCAUAAAAAAUACCACUGCUGCUAAGACUCACAAUAUUUAACCAAAAGCAUACAAAUGGUGUGAAAAUACUACCUCAAGCCUAU
Molecule: unclassified non-coding RNA, 228 nt
Filed under: Hevea brasiliensis (rubber tree)
Lineage: Eukaryota; Viridiplantae; Streptophyta; Magnoliopsida; Malpighiales; Euphorbiaceae
Source: RNAcentral